Strigops habroptila (Kakapo) is the source of this 169-nucleotide long non-coding RNA. RefSeq lists it as uncharacterized. NCBI's taxonomy places the organism in Eukaryota, Metazoa, Chordata, Aves, Psittaciformes, Psittacidae. The record is from RefSeq and is a predicted model, not a curated record. The transcript has 2 exons.
CACUUUAUCACUGCAAGGGUGACUGAGCACUGGCACAGGCUGCCCAGGGAGGUUGUGGAGCCUCCAUCCUUGGAGAUGUUGAAAAUCCACCUGGGUACAGUUCUGGUUUGCAGGAUGUUGGUGGGAACUGCCUGGAAGAAGGGUAGAAGUGUCCUUGGAGGUGUGGAGC